ACUCCUACGGGAGGCAGCAGUGGGGAAUAUUGCACAAUGGGCGCAAGCCUGAUGCAGCCAUGCCGCGUGUAUGAAGAAGGCCUUCGGGUUGUAAAGUACUUUCAGCGGGGAGGAAGGCGAUAAGGUUAAUAACCUUGUUGAUUGACGUUACCCGCAGAAGAAGCACCGGCUAACUCCGUGCCAGCAGCCGCGGUAAUACGGAGGGUGCAAGCGUUAAUCGGAAUUACUGGGCGUAAAGCGCACGCAGGCGGUCUGUCAAGUCGGAUGUGAAAUCCCCGGGCUCAACCUGGGAACUGCAUUCGAAACUGGCAGGCUAGAGUCUUGUAGAGGGGGGUAGAAUUCCAGGUGUAGAGGUGAAAUGCGUAGAGAUCUGGAGGAAUACCGGUGGCGAAGGCGGCCCCCUGGACAAAGACUGACGCUCAGGUGCGAAAGCGUGGGGAGCAAACAGGAUUAGAAACCCUGGUAGUCCCAUGAU
RNAcentral lists this ribosomal RNA (475 nucleotides) under uncultured organism. RNAcentral's name for it is "partial 16S ribosomal RNA". It matches the Rfam family "Bacterial small subunit ribosomal RNA", at positions 335 to 801 of the family's 1533-position model. The record is from RNAcentral.